This 195-nucleotide unclassified non-coding RNA is filed under the name uncultured Elaphomyces. RNAcentral describes it as "sequence contains ITS2". Lineage: Eukaryota; Fungi; Ascomycota; Eurotiomycetes; Eurotiales; Elaphomycetaceae. The record is from RNAcentral.
CCUUCCCUCCAAGGCCCCCUUGGGCUUUGGAUGUUGGGCCGUUUUGUCCCCCUGCUCUCCGGGGGGACAGGCCUGAAAGACAGUGGCGAUGCCGUAGUCAAUCCCCGAGCGUAUGGGUGUCUUCCGCUCUCUCUAGGCUUGAUUGGCAUCCGCCGUCCUUCUGCACUGUGUGUGUGUGUGCAGUGUUUUGACUCC